This 476-nucleotide ribosomal RNA is filed under the name uncultured bacterium. RNAcentral describes it as "bacterial SSU rRNA". It matches the Rfam family "Bacterial small subunit ribosomal RNA", at positions 29 to 506 of the family's 1533-position model. The record is from RNAcentral.
AUGAACGCUAGCGGCAGGCUUAACACAUGCAAGUCGAGGGGUAGUUGUCUUCGGAUAAUGAGACCGGCGCACGGGUGCGUAACGCGUAUACAAUCUACCUUUUACAGAGGGAUAGCCCAGAGAAAUUUGGAUUAAUACCUCAUAGUAUUUUUGAAUCGCAUGAUUUGAUUAUUAAAGUUCCAACGGUAAAAGAUGAGUAUGCGUCCCAUUAGCUAGAUGGUAAGGUAACGGCUUACCAUGGCAACGAUGGGUAGGGGUCCUGAGAGGGAGAUCCCCCACACUGGUACUGAGACACGGACCAGACUCCUACGGGAGGCAGCAGUGAGGAAUAUUGGACAAUGGGCGCAAGCCUGAUCCAGCCAUGCCGCGUGCAGGAAGAAGGUCCUAUGGAUUGUAAACUGCUUUUAUACAGGAAGAAACACCUCUACGUGUAGAGACUUGACGGUACUGUAUGAAUAAGGACCGGCUAACUCCGU